Molecule: microRNA precursor, 56 nt
Filed under: Eptatretus burgeri (inshore hagfish)
Lineage: Eukaryota; Metazoa; Chordata; Myxini; Myxiniformes; Myxinidae
Description: miRNA (ENSEBUG00000000023.1)
Rfam family: mir-181 microRNA precursor family
About the family: In this case the mature sequence comes from the 5' arm of the precursor.
Source: RNAcentral
GAAACAUUCAACGCUGUCGGUGAGUUUUCUGAAGACAAACCAUCGACCGUUGAGUG